This 497-nucleotide ribosomal RNA is filed under the name uncultured bacterium. Its description in RNAcentral is "bacterial SSU rRNA". It matches the Rfam family "Bacterial small subunit ribosomal RNA", at positions 17 to 507 of the family's 1533-position model. The record is from RNAcentral.
UCCUGGGCUCAGGAUGAACGCUAGCGGCAGGCUUAAUACAUGCAAGUCGUGGGGCAGCAUGAGUAGCAAUACUUGAUGGCGACCGGCAAACGGGUGAGGAACACGUACACAACCUUCCUUCAAGCGGGGAAUAGCCCAGAGAAAUUUGGAUUAAUACCCCAUAAUAUAUUUGAUAAGGCAUCUUAUUAAUAUUAAAGCUUCGGCACUUGAUGAUGGGUGUGCGGCUGAUUAGAUAGUUGGCGGGGUAACGGCCCACCAAGUCUACGAUCAGUAGCUGAUGUGAGAGCAUGAUCAGCCACACGGGCACUGAGACACGGGCCCGACUCCUACGGGAGGCAGCAGUAAGGAAUAUUGGACAAUGGACGAAAGUCUGAUCCAGCCAUGCCGCGUGAAGGAUUAAGGUCCUCUGGAUUGUAAACUUCUUUUAUAUGGGACGAAAAAAGGGCAUUCUUGUUCACUUGACGGUACCAUAUGAAUAAGCACCGGCUAACUCCGUG